UACGUAGGGUGCAAGCGUUGUCCGGAAUCAUUGGGCGUAAAGCGCGCGUAGGCGGCCCCGUAAGUCCGCUGUGAAAGUCAAAGGCUCAACCUUUGAAAGCCGGUGGAUACUGUGGGGCUAGAGUCCGGAAGAGGCGAGUGGAAUUCCUGGUGUAGCGGUGGAAUGCGCAGAUAUCAGGAGGAACACCAAUAGCGAAGGCAGCUCGCUGGGACGGUACUGACGCUAAGGCGCGAAAGCGUGGGGAGCAAACCGG
RNAcentral lists this ribosomal RNA (253 nucleotides) under uncultured bacterium. RNAcentral describes it as "partial 16S ribosomal RNA". It matches the Rfam family "Bacterial small subunit ribosomal RNA", at positions 524 to 776 of the family's 1533-position model. The record is from RNAcentral.